GCGAACGCUGGCGGCAGGCCUAACACAUGCAAGUCGAACGAACCUUUCGGGGUUAGUGGCGGACGGGUGAGUAACACGUGGGAACGUGCCUUUAGGUUCGGAAUAACUCAGGGAAACUUGUGCUAAUACCGAAUGUGCCCUUCGGGGGAAAGAUUAAUCGCCUUUAGAGCGGCCCGCGUCUGAUUAGCUAGUUGGUUGAGGUAAUGGCUCACCAAGGCGACGAUCAGUAGCUGGUCUGAGAGGAUGAUCAGCCACAUUGGGACUGAGACACGGCCCAAACUCCUACGGGAGGCAGCAGUGGGGAAUCUUGCGCAAUGGGCGAAAGCCUGACGCAGCCAUGCCGCGUGAAUGAUGAAGGUCUUAGGAUUGUAAAAUUCUUUCACCGGGGACGAUAAUGACGGUACCCGGAGAAGAGGCCCCGGCUAACUUCGUG
This 433-nucleotide ribosomal RNA is filed under the name uncultured bacterium. Its description in RNAcentral is "partial 16S ribosomal RNA". It matches the Rfam family "Bacterial small subunit ribosomal RNA", at positions 29 to 507 of the family's 1533-position model. The record is from RNAcentral.